UACAGAGGGGGCAAGCGUUGUUCGGAAUUACUGGGCGCAAAGGGCGCGUAGGCGGCCUUCUAAGUCGAACGUGAAAUCCCCGGGCUCAACCCGGGAACUGCGUCCGAUACUGGAAGGCUUGAAUCCGGGAGAGGGAUGCGGAAUUCCAGGUGUAGCGGUGAAAUGCGUAGAUAUCUGGAGGAACACCGGUGGCGAAGGCGGCAUCCUGGACCGGCAUUGACGCUGAGGCGCGAAAGCCAGGGGAGCAAACGGG
RNAcentral lists this ribosomal RNA (253 nucleotides) under uncultured bacterium. RNAcentral's name for it is "partial 16S ribosomal RNA". It matches the Rfam family "Bacterial small subunit ribosomal RNA", at positions 524 to 776 of the family's 1533-position model. The record is from RNAcentral.